Molecule: long non-coding RNA, 1217 nt
Organism: Thunnus maccoyii (southern bluefin tuna)
Lineage: Eukaryota; Metazoa; Chordata; Actinopteri; Scombriformes; Scombridae
Exons: 2
Source: RefSeq, a predicted model, not a curated record
AACAGUAGGUUUUCAUUGGACAGUCCCAUUGUCCAAUCACGCUGGAUACUGAUGUCAGCUACUAACUAGUUAGUUUAUUCUUAUUAUCAACAUCUGAAAUUCUAUGUCCUAGAUCUGGGCUAUUCAACUUCAGUAGCAAGUGGGCCAAAUAGGAAAAUCAUAGGGGUCCGUGGGCCACACAGAAUACUUUGUCAAUCAAUGGCUACAAAUAAUUUACAGUAUAAUGUUAAUAGAUAUAUUAGUACGUGGAAUAAACUAGUCAUGUGCAUCCCUUUUCUUUCACUUUAAUUGUAUCAUUACAAUCAAUUCCAGACAGCAGCGAGUCCAUACAAAAAGUUGGAAAGUUAUGGUUACAAGGCUUGAAACAGAAGUGCAAAAAGUAACAUCUAAAAACCAAAGGAGACAUGAGGUGUUUUUCUGACAGGUCCAUAUCCACAAAUGUAGAAAACAAGAUGAAUGUAGUAAAACAGUAAGUAGGCCUGUUUGUAAUAUCCUCAACAACACUUCCAAGCAUACAGGAGCUUUUAAAACAGGUCCAUAUCCAUAAAUGCUAAAUGCAAGAUGAACAUAAUAAAACAGUAGCCAUCAUACUAAUAAUAAAUGGGCCUGUUCAUGAUACUAUCAAAAACAAUUCCAAGCAGACAUAUGGUGCUUAUAGCAGGUCCAUAUCCAUAUUUGUUAAGGAUGAAAACAGUAAAACAGUAUCCAGACUAACAAUAAGUAGGCCUGUUUGAAUCAUCAUAAAACAGAUCUGUAGUCUUUGCAUUUUCACUAAAAGAGCAUUACAUGCCUCAAUCAGGUGAUUUACUACUACACAACUACCAUACAAAUCAGACUUCUAUCAUUUUGAGCCUGUUUGAGUCAGUGAGAGAAAUUACACUGCCUGUAUUUUGCUAUUUCAACAUAGUUUGGGUCAUAAGUUACACUCAUGUAACUUCUCAUUGGUCAUCGAACAACGUGCCUGUGUUGCCUUUAUGGCCUAAGUUGUACAUGCUUUUAUUUUGAAAUGUUUUUUAUUUUGAAAUGGGUUUUCUCUGCUGAGGGAGUCACGUGUGUACAAUUCACUUCCUGUUAGUAGUGAAGAAGCUAGCUGAAUCAGUUCUCCUGUGUUUGUGUUCAUCCAAAGCAAUUCACGCUGUAAACGCCACAGAGGCAAUGUCUUUUCACUCUGCCCUGUAUGAUACAAAAGAGGAACAGUAAACAGCAAAGAAAGCUCA